This 480-nucleotide ribosomal RNA is filed under the name uncultured organism. RNAcentral's name for it is "bacterial SSU rRNA". It matches the Rfam family "Bacterial small subunit ribosomal RNA", at positions 28 to 507 of the family's 1533-position model. The record is from RNAcentral.
GAUGAACGCUGGCGGCGUGCCUAACACAUGCAAGUCGAGCGAACGAACCAAGAGGAGUCCUUCGGGACGAAUCAUGGGGAGUUAGCGGCGGACGGGUGAGUAACGCGUGGGUAACCUGCCCUAUACAGGGGGAUAGCCUCGGGAAACCGGGAUUAAUACCCCAUAAAACUCUAAGCGCGCAUGCGCUGUGAGUCAAAGAUUUUAUCGGUAUAGGAUGGGCCCGCGUCUGAUUAGCUGGUUGGUGAGGUAACGGCUCACCAAGGCGACGAUCAGUAGCCGACCUGAGAGGGUGAUCGGCCACACUGGAACUGAGACACGGUCCAGACUCCUACGGGAGGCAGCAGUGGGGAAUAUUGCACAAUGGGGGAAACCCUGAUGCAGCAACGCCGCGUGAGUGAAGAAGCUCUUCGGAGCGUAAAACUCUGUCCUAAGGGAAGAAGCCUGACGGUACCUUAGGAGGAAGCCCCGGCUAACUACGUG